This 214-nucleotide long non-coding RNA is filed under the name Elaeis guineensis (African oil palm). RNAcentral describes it as "long non-coding RNA (EGUI_LNC013150)". Lineage: Eukaryota; Viridiplantae; Streptophyta; Magnoliopsida; Arecales; Arecaceae. The record is from RNAcentral.
AAAUACUAUUCAUUUACCUCCUUUUAUAGACAAGUUGUUGGUAACUAUUUGUAAUGGUUAGAUACGUGGGUUCUGCUUAUUUCGGCAUUAUGUGAUCAUGGGAUAGACGAUUAUACCCACCAUUGAUCAUGUUCUGACCAUUAUGUGCUUUCUACACUGGUGGUUUCUGGUAUGCCGACUCUAUGUCGACAGUUUAAAUAUGUUGAUUGUAUGU